This 1446-nucleotide ribosomal RNA is filed under the name uncultured organism. Its description in RNAcentral is "partial small subunit ribosomal RNA". It matches the Rfam family "Bacterial small subunit ribosomal RNA". The record is from RNAcentral.
UUUCUACAGGCUUAACACAUGCAAGUCGAGGGGCAUCAUGUUGUUUUGCUGGCAAAGCAGAGGUGGAGAGCGGCGCACGGGAGAAUAACACGUAUCCCACCUGCCUCAUACUCGGAGAUACUCUUUCAAAGGAAAGAUUAAUAUCCGAUAGCAUAGAUUUCCCGCAUGGGUUUGAUAUUAAAGAAAUUCGGGAUGAAAGGGGGAUGCGUUCCAUUAAUUUGAUGGGGGGGAAACGGCCCACCAAGACUACGAGGGAUAGGGGUCCUGAAAGGAAGGCCCCCCACAUUGAAACUGAAACACGGCCCAAACUCCUACGGAAGGCAGCAGGGAGAAAUAUUGGCCAAGGGACACAAGCCUAAACCACCCAAGAACCGGGAAGAAUGACUGCCCUAUGAGUGGUAAACUUCUUUUAUAUGGAAAUAAAGAGGCCCACGGGGGAAUUUUUGUAGGUACCAUAGAAAUAAGGAUCGGCUAACUCCGGGCCACCACCCGCGGAAAUACGAAGAAUCCAAGCGUAAUCCGAAUUUAUGGGGUUUAAAGGAAGCGAAAGCGGAUUGUUAAGUCAGUUGUGAAAGUUGGCGGCUCACCCGAAAAAUUGCAUUUGAUACGGGCAGCCUGAAGAGCAGUAAAGGAGGCCGAAAUUCGUGGGGAACCGGUGAAAUGCUAAAAUAUAACAAAAAACUCCAAUGGCAAAGGCAGCUCACUGGAGUGUAACCGACGAUGAUGCUAGAAAGUGUGGUUAUCCAACAGGAUUUGAUACCGUAGUAGUCCACACAGUAAACGAUGAAUACUCGUUGUUUGUGAUAUAUAGUAAGCGAACAAGAGACAGCAUUAAGUAUUCCUCGUGAGGAGUACGCCGGCAGCGGUGAUAAUCAAAGGAAUUGACGGGGGGCCGCACAAGCGGAGGAACAUGUGGUUUAAUUUGAUGAUACGCGAGGAUCCUUAGCCGGGCUUAAAUUGCAAAUGAAUUAUGGGGAAAUCCAUAUGCCGCAAGGCAUUUGUGAAGGUGUUGCAUGGUUUUGUUCAGUUGGUGCCGUGAGGUUUGGGUUUAAGUGCCAUAACGAGCGCAACCUUUAUGUUCAGUUAUUACCAGGCUAUGUUGAGGACUUUUGAGAGACUGCAUUGUUAAGAUGUGAGGAAGGUGGGGAGGAGGUCAAAUCACCACGGCCCUUACUUCCGGGGUUCCCCACGUGUUCCAAUGGGGGGUACAGAAGGCCGCUACCUGGCGACAGGAUGCCAAUCCCAAAAACCUCUCUCAGUUCGGAUUGAAGUCUGCAACCCGACUUCGUGAAGCUGGAUUCGCUAGUAAUCGCGCAUCAGCCAUGGCGCGGUGAAUACGUUCCCGGGCCUUGUACACACCGCCCGUCAAGCCAUGAAAGCCGGGGGUACCUGAAGUACGUAACCGCAAGGAGCGUCCUAGGGUAAAACUGGUAAUUGGGGCUAAGU